This 727-nucleotide ribosomal RNA is filed under the name Placopsis illita. RNAcentral's name for it is "SSU rRNA". It matches the Rfam family "Eukaryotic small subunit ribosomal RNA", at positions 134 to 868 of the family's 1831-position model. The record is from RNAcentral. Lineage: Eukaryota; Fungi; Ascomycota; Lecanoromycetes; Trapeliales; Trapeliaceae.
CUUACUUGGAUAACCGUGGUAAUUCUAGAGCUAAUACAUGCUAAAAACCUCGACUUCGGAAGGGGUGUAUUUAUUAGAUAAAAAACCAAUGCCCUUCGGGGCUCCCUGGUGAUUCAUAAUAACUAAACGAAUCGCAUGGCCUUGCGCCGGCGAUGGUUCAUUCAAAUUUCUGCCCUAUCAACUUUCGAUGGUAGGAUAGUGGCCUACCAUGGUGGCAACGGGUAACGGGGAAUUAGGGUUCUAUUCCGGAGAGGGAGCCUGAGAAACGGCUACCACAUCCAAGGAAGGCAGCAGGCGCGCAAAUUACCCAAUCCCGACACGGGGAGGUAGUGACAAUAAAUACUGAUGUGGAGCUCUUUAGGGUUUCACAAUUGGAAUGAGAAAAAUCUAAACCACUUAAACGAGGAACAAUUGGAGGGCAAGUCUGGUGCCAGCAGCCGCGGUAAUUCCAGCUCCAAUAGCGUAUAUUAAAGUUGUUGCAGUUAAAAAGCUCGUAGUUGAACCUUGGGCCUGGCCGUCCGGUCCGCCUCACCGCGUGCACUGGUUCGGCCGGGCCUUUCCUCCUGGGGAACCGCAUGCCCUUCACUGGGUGUGCCGGGGAAUCAGGACUUUUACUUUGAAAAAAUUAGAGUGUUCAAAGCAGGCAUUUGCUCGAAUACAUUAGCAUGGAAUAAUAGAAUAGGACGUUGUGGUUCUAUUUUGUUGGUUUCUAGGACCGCCGUAAUGA